UAGGGAAUCUUCGGCAAUGGACGAAAGUCUGACCGAGCAACGCCGCGUGAGUGAAGAAGGUUUUCGGAUCGUAAAACUCUGUUGUUAGAGAAGAACAAGGACGUUAGUAACUGAACGUCCCCUGACGGUAUCUAACCAGAAAGCUACGGCUAACUACGUGCCAGCAGCCGCGGUAAUACGUAGGUGGCAAGCGUUGUCCGGAUUUAUUGGGCGUAAAGCGAGCGCAGGCGGUUUCUUAAGUCUGAUGUGAAAGCCCCCGGCUCAACCGGGGAGGGUCAUUGGACACUGGGAGACUUGAGUGCAGAAGAGGAGAGUGGAAUUCCAUGUGUAGCGGUGAAAUGCGUAGAUAUAUGGAGGAACACCAGUGGCGAAGGCGGCUCUCUGGUCUGUAACUGACGCUGAGGCUCGAAAGCGUGGGGAGCAAACAGG
Molecule: ribosomal RNA, 429 nt
Filed under: Gemmatimonadota bacterium
Lineage: Bacteria; Pseudomonadati; Gemmatimonadota
Description: Gemmatimonadetes bacterium partial 16S ribosomal RNA
Rfam family: Bacterial small subunit ribosomal RNA
Source: RNAcentral